Candidatus Chisholmbacteria bacterium is the source of this 72-nucleotide non-coding RNA. The record is from Rfam. Lineage: Bacteria; Candidatus Chisholmiibacteriota.
CGGAGCGUAGUUCACCGGUAGAACGCUCGGUUCGGGACCGAGAGGUACUGGGUUCAAUUCCCAGCGCUCCGA